This is an RNA transcript of Rhinopithecus roxellana (golden snub-nosed monkey), 2419 nucleotides long. It is a transcript of the gene named KH RNA binding domain containing, signal transduction associated 2, with no coding region annotated. NCBI's taxonomy places the organism in Eukaryota, Metazoa, Chordata, Mammalia, Primates, Cercopithecidae. The record is from RefSeq and is a predicted model, not a curated record. The transcript is spliced from 10 exons.
GCGCCCUGUUCCCGCCUCUCCAGUUAAGGCCGAUGGUGUGAGCCCGGGCUCUGCGCGAGCGAGGGACAACGGAAGGGACGGGCAGGUGUGGACGCGGGGCCACGCAGCCCGACGGCGGGAGUCGCAGGUGCUGGGUGCAUGGGCCAGUGAGGACGCACGGAGAUCCCCUCGCCGCGCAGAGGAGGAGCAGCGCGGGAGCCAGGCGCUGCCCCACGACCCUGCGUCCGAGCGAGCGGAACCUCGCACUUCGCCCGGGGACAGUCCAAAGUCCGCGCUAUGGAAGAGGAGAAAUAUUUGCCUGAGCUGAUGGCAGAGAAAGAUAGCCUGGAUCCAUCUUUUGUGCAUGCAUCGCGCCUUUUGGCAGAAGAAAUUGAAAAAUUUCAAGGUUCUGAUGGAAAAAAGGAAGACGAAGAAAAGAAGUAUCUUGAUGUCAUCAGCAACAAAAACAUAAAGCUCUCAGAAAGAGUACUGAUUCCUGUCAAGCAGUAUCCAAAGUUCAAUUUUGUGGGGAAAUUGCUUGGACCAAGAGGAAAUUCCUUGAAGAGGCUACAGGAAGAAACAGGUGCUAAAAUGUCUAUCCUGGGCAAAGGAUCAAUGAGAGAUAAAGCUAAGGAAGAAGAACUAAGGAAGAGUGGGGAAGCCAAAUAUGCCCACUUGAGUGAUGAGCUUCAUGUAUUAAUUGAAGUGUUUGCUCCACCUGGGGAAGCUUAUUCACGUAUGAGUCAUGCAUUGGAAGAGAUUAAAAAAUUCCUGGUUCCUGACUACAAUGAUGAAAUUCGUCAGGAACAACUACGUGAAUUAUCUUACUUAAAUGGCUCAGAGGACUCUGGUCGUGGCCGAGGUAUUAGAGGCAGAGGGAUCAGAAUAGCUCCCACAGCUCCUUCAAGGGGCCGUGGGGGUGCCAUUCCUCCUCCCCCACCACCUGGACGAGGUGUUCUCACCCCUCGAGGAAGUACUGUAACCCGUGGAGCCCUUCCAGUGCCACCUGUAGCAAGAGGUGUCCCUACCCCUCGAGCCCGGGGGGCACCAACAGUGCCAGGAUACAGGGCGCCUCCUCCUCCAGCCCAUGAAGCUUAUGAAGAAUAUGGUUAUGAUGAUGGCUACGGGGGUGAAUAUGAUGACCAGACCUAUGAAGCUUAUGAUAACAGCUAUGCGACCCAAACACAAAGAACUUACAGAGUUUGUGGCCAAUGAAGGCUUAGGAAUGGACCUGAUGGCAAAGAUGAAGGAGAUAGAGAGUCAAUGUGCCUGAAUACUAUGACUACGGUCAUGGAGUAAGUGAGGAUGCCUAUGACAGCUACGCACCAGAAGAAUGGGCCACAACCCGCUCUAGCUUGAAAGCACCACCGCCGAGGUCAGCAAGAGGGGGAUACAGGGAACACCCCUAUGGUAGAUAUUGAAGGUCCUUCCCACCUGUGACCUCACCUCAAAGACAAUUCAUAGCCUGUGGUCUCCACAUAAACAGCAACAAGACAAGUAAUAGUCCUUUUUUUUGUUUGUUGUUUUCUAUUCUAGGGAUAACUGCUCAUGAUUACUCCCAUAUAUUUCUUGUAUUUCCCUCUAUACUGUUGGCGUGACAUUGACAUUAGUAUUAUUUUACAAAGCAGACUGAAGAAGACAUUGGCAAGCAUAGUCUAUAAACCUCUCAGUAGGAUGAUAUUCUCUUGGUUGUUUUUCAUUGUUGUGUGUAAUCUUUUUUUUUUUCCUUUUUUUUUUUUUUUUUUUUUUUUGAGAAAAAGCAUGAAUCUGUUAACAGAUUUUGAGUCUUAACCAACUAGCAGAAACUUUGUUUAGGGUUGCUAAAAGACUGUAAUAUGAUUUUUGAACUAGCUGAUAAUAAAGUUGUAGAUAAGAUGUUUUAACCUGUCUUUCAAUAUCUGUUAGUUAGACAAAGAUGUUCGAUAUUAAGUUUGUAAAUUUAAUUUUAAAUGCUGUUUUAAUGGGGUUGAAAACAAGCAGCUACUGUAUGUAUGUAGCUAACUGAAUUUGUUCAGUGUUUUAACCUGUAUUUGUUAAAAAAGAAAAACACACACACACACACACAUAAAGUUCCAUGUGUAAGCUUCUCUAAAUAGGAAACCACAAUUUGUCAAAUAUGUUUGCCAUAAUUUGUCAAUAAAGCUGAAAACUUUUGUAAAAACUAAAUUUGGAAUUACUUGUUUUCUAGCUUUAAAUGCCUGCUUUAUUUCUUCUUCAAGAGAUGCCUAAACUGUUUUCUAUUUAAAAAUUACAAAAAUGAACCCAAGCCUGUUUUAAGAUAUUUGUGUAAUACUUAAAAAUGUAUUAAUAACUUAUGGUUGUUAAAUAAUUUAAAAGUUAACAAACUAAACUGUUACAUGAAUCAUGGUUAGUAAACACUAAUGUAUAACAUGUUAAUGGAAAAAAAUGGAUUUAGAAUAAUAAAUGGAUUUUAAACUAU